Molecule: non-coding RNA, 31 nt
Filed under: Homo sapiens (human)
Lineage: Eukaryota; Metazoa; Chordata; Mammalia; Primates; Hominidae
Source: RNAcentral
CACUCUUGUCCAGAAAGACAUUCACCACUGU